GAUGCGUUGGCAGAGCGGCUAUUGCAGCGGAUUGCAACCCCGUGUCCCUCCGGUUCGAGUCCGGAACGCAUCUCCA
RNAcentral lists this transfer RNA (76 nucleotides) under Nitrospira sp. Its description in RNAcentral is "tRNA-Cys". It matches the Rfam family "tRNA". From Rfam's summary of the family: Transfer RNA (tRNA) molecules are approximately 80 nucleotides in length. Their secondary structure includes four short double-helical elements and three loops (D, anti-codon, and T loops). Lineage: Bacteria; Pseudomonadati; Nitrospirota; Nitrospiria; Nitrospirales; Nitrospiraceae. The record is from RNAcentral. RNAcentral also lists the same sequence under 1 other name.